RNAcentral lists this long non-coding RNA (734 nucleotides) under Taeniopygia guttata (zebra finch). RNAcentral describes it as "lncRNA (ENSTGUG00000023249.1)". The record is from RNAcentral. Lineage: Eukaryota; Metazoa; Chordata; Aves; Passeriformes; Estrildidae.
AUACAGGGCUGAAAACAAAGACAUUCAAACCUUGAGCCAUUUAGAAGAGGAAGAAGCCAAAAUCUGUGCCAGAGGUUUGACUACUGGGAUACUCAUGGCUUCAGUCUAUUUACAGGAGUACUGAUGACUACAAUAAGAGCUAUAAAGGAAACAUGAACCUGCCUCGUGUGAUGAUGUGGUGAAAAAUUAGAUGCCUCUGGAGAGCUGGACCUGAACUGCUGUUCCAAGGUUAUGGGGGCUCUAUUUUGCCACUGUCUUCACCAGCCUGUGAGAAAGAAACAGCCUUCAGAGAUCUCUCGUCUCCAUCCAUCCAAACUGUCCUGGAGUCCAGAAUCCUCACAGGAUCCAUACAGGGAAGGGACAGCAGGAAACAAGGCUGGUGGUCAAGCUGGUCAAGAGGAAAACCAAAGCUCGUCCUUAUUGAUGUCCUUCAGAGAGAACAUUUUUGAAAUCACAGCUCUGUGCCAGGCAAUGAAAGAGAGGCAGCUGCUGGCUGGGCAGGAUGAGGCCAGCCCAAGGUCCUGCAGAACAACCCAUGAGAGGUCUGUGGACUGGUGCGCCACGCUGGAUAUGGCCAGGUGCUGAGCAGGCUGAGAAGGCUGAGCAGAGCAUCCUGGCACCAGCACAGAUCAUCCCUUACCAGCUUGUGUAGUCAAAACUACCUUCCAGGAAUGAAUCAGGAUACAACUAUCCAACCAGCUGCUCUGGGUGAGACCCAAGAGAUGUUUCACUCA